AUCUUUUGCUGAAGAUCUCUGCCUACCUGAGGUCUUCCAAAGCUGUGGCUGGGCAUCGGAGGAUCUGGUGCUAAUCAUGCUGGAAACAAAGGAUGACUGGAGAACAAUACCACAAAACUUCUUUAUAACUGAUAGAGUGGAAAAGGAAUUUCCUGAAGUCAGUAUCUACAGUUAUGUUCAAAUCUAAUCUGUGGGCAAGGAGGAAGCAUGCUAUUCAUACAGCAAUGAUAUUCCUAAGCAUGUAUGAAGAACAUGUCCUUCAUCAGAAGGUAAUAAUCGAUAUCAGUAAAGGAACAAACAACCUAAGGUAUUUCUGUGGUCCAGAAUGUCUUUCCACUCUACCUCAGCACCCUACCUUGAACAUCUCUGCACAUCUGGGAAAUCUCAUACCCAUGUGAUAGCAGGGAAACAGAAAAGAAGCACUUACCAAAAGGCCUAAAUACUUCAGAGUCAACAGCAACUGUGGAGUUCUCUAUACAGCCUUUGCUUGAAAUACUUGAAACUAGAAAGGUAUGAGAAGAUAUUCCUGGAAAACACUGUAUUUUCUUUGUAGAACCCAUGGAAAGAACAUCAAGUGGAAAUCCAUGUGGAGAGAAUUACCUGCAUAUCUGUUCUAUUGAAAUGUUUCUAACAAAACCAAAAGGCUGCAGCCAAAUGCCUGCACCAAGUGUGGAAUUCUGGUUUCCUAUAGUGCAUUUGCCACAUCUGAACUGUUUAUUUUGAACUGGGCAAUAAUUAGCUGACUAUAUCUGAAAGAUACAGAUUUUUAUAGUUCUAAGUGGUUACUGUUGUUUUCAAUGUUAAAGAAUGGCUAUUCUGCUGCUUCUUACUUUUCUAAGCUUAAAAUUCUUCUAGCUGUUUACCUUUCUUCUUGCUAAAUUAUAAAUAUGACAUGUUAUGUUACAGAGUACAGAUUUCAUCCUUUCUUUUCUGUGCACUUU
Molecule: long non-coding RNA, 941 nt
Filed under: Gallus gallus (chicken)
Lineage: Eukaryota; Metazoa; Chordata; Aves; Galliformes; Phasianidae
Description: lncRNA (ENSGALG00010010727.1)
Source: RNAcentral